Molecule: small RNA, 4494 nt
Filed under: Arabidopsis thaliana (thale cress)
Lineage: Eukaryota; Viridiplantae; Streptophyta; Magnoliopsida; Brassicales; Brassicaceae
Description: ATSL157190
Source: RNAcentral
GCGGUGCGGCAUGAGGCGCGCUAGACUAGACUCCUUGUUCAUUCGAGGUUUUCGUCAGCUCGUCGUAGCUUUCCGAGAUUACUCGCAACAUUGUAUCUGAUCGUCAAUAGAAAAAGAAAGCUUUGCCUAGGCCCACGGUGGACGCUAAUUGUUUGUACUGAGGUUGUAACAAUAAAUAACUAAGGGGUUUUGGGGAGAACAGAGCAGCUUCUUUAUUAAUGAUGAACGAGAAUAGUAAUUAACAGAACAGAAAACCAAAAGUACAGAACGGAGAACCAGAAAAUAUAGAACAGAAAACCAGAAAAUACAAAGCCGACAACCAAAAGUACAGAACGGAUAACCAAAAGUACAGAACGGAGAACCAAACGUACAGAAUGGAAAACCAGAAAAUAAGAUAUAAAGAGUUAGACAGCAAUUCUCUCUUAAAUUCUCUGAGUAGUGUCUUAGGGUCUGGACCUAUAGGCAAGGAGCUGAUCUAGGGUUCUCUUUGUCUCUCUUACGAUUUCUCCUUUCUGCCCUUCUAAAUUUAACGGGCUAGGCCGAGCUGUGAUGGCCCGAGAUGACAUGUCGUUGGGCCGAGCAGUCUUUAUUUGGGACGAGCCGUCAGUCUGAUGGGUUGUUGUUCUGAUGGGUCGCUCUUUCUUGUUUGGAGCUGAUAAUAGGUUUUUUAGUCAAUUAUCCUAAAACACCAAUCAUAUCGUUGUAGUAUUUUAGGUUGUCAAUCCAAAUGGGUGUGAUGCUAAUAAUCAAGAUGUGAUCAGAAGUCACUAAGUCAAACCAAGCAAUAACAGGUUUUGGUGUGUUCUAGCAGUUCUAAGUGAACAUGAAGAAAACAGAAAUUCAAGCAGAAACAAUAAAACACUCGACCAACACAGCUCUUUGCAGAGCACUGGGUGGGAUCGAGUGACAGGUCGAGUAACAGACAUAAAGUAUAACAGGGAUACUCGACUGCACAGUCUGUUGCCCGACAACUGGGUGGUCGAGUAUCAGGUCGAGUAACAGUAAAGAAUUGCAGAAACUAAGGAACAGAUGACAAGAUGCAGUAAACAACAGUAGAGUAAACAAAGAAUUCAAUCAGAUAAAGAAUUCCCGAGGAUGGGGUAAUUGAGUAGUUUCGUUUCCUCAGUUUACAGGUGAUUGACAUGCUCAAUAAAUUUACCCUAGACAACAAGUUCAUUAACCAUAUCUAAGUGCCACCGCAACAGAGACUCUCAAGUUAACCUAGUCCCAGACUCAAUCACCAUUGACGAGAGCUAACCUAACAGGCAUUACGAAUCAACAAGUUAAAGCCAAAACGCUCCCUGCAACCAAUACCUUGGUACAGGGUCACGAAUCUCUGGAAUUAGUGGUUCAAACAUUUCAUCGAACACCUUUUGGGCGCGGAAAUGUCUUGGCUCAAAUUCCAGUUGAUCAGAAAGCAAUAGGCAUUAAGAACAACUAAUCCAGAAGGGAUCUAUCAACCAAUACUCAAUCACCUAGCAUACUGAGAAUUCUACACUACUCUAACCCAUCCUCAGAAAUCUAUUCACUACUCAGACAUCAUAACAGAAAGCAUAAACGUUGAACAGGUUGAAGACAUGAUAACAACAGUGUAAUAGCAGGAUGAUAACAUAAUGAACAACAGCAAACGAAAAUCAAGAACAAAAACUGAAUACUGAAUACUGAAUAUAUAAAGAGAAAUCCGGAUUACAAAUGGUCUAGAACACAAGGUCUGCGGAAAUAAAACUAGAUAAAAACUUCUUGUCUGCGAAAAUGUGAAGUACAUGCUACUUAUAGCCAAAUAUUCUGAAACCCUAAUACUUAAAACGACGAAGUAUUGGGACGGAUUAAGAACUGUACUCGACCCAUGUGGUCGAGUGAGAGGUCGAGUGAAUAGUUGGAGUCUUCUUUUCUUCCCUGUGCUCGAGUGUCUGGUUGAGUGCGGAAUGAAGAAGGCUCUGAAGCUUGUCAUCGAGUAUGCAGUCGAGUGGUGUGAUGGUGAUACUCGACUUCCGGGUAGAGUGAUGAGGUCGAGUAGUGGUCUGGCAAUGGGAUGAAGAUCGAGUGGUGUGAUGGUGAUACUCGACGUGAUCGAGUGGUGGUCAGAAGAUGGAGAUGAAGGCACUCGACCUGGGGGUCGAGUGAUGUGAUCGAGUGGUGGUCAGAAGAUGGAGAUGAAGUCACUCGACCUGGGGGUCGAGUGAUGUGAUUGAGUGGUGGUGUCUUCUACUCGGCCUAGGGGUCGAGUGGUCUCUUGAGAUCUUGAAGCUCCUACUCGACCUCUAGGUCGAGUGGUUUGUCAUGAUCAGGUCUGCUUCUUCCAGUUAGCUCGUUAACAGCUCCAAAUCACCUGAAAUCAACAUAAAUAUGCAGAAUGCAUGCAACCCUAUCCUAAACAUGUAAAGUGAUGAGAAAUGGUAUAAAACAGUGAUGAUAUGGUGCUAAAGUGAUGACAAAUGGAUGCUCAAAACAUGCAUAUCAACUCCCCCAAACUUAGUCUUUGCUUGCCCUCAAGCAAACAAAAGAACAAGCUGGAGGUGAGAUUUGAAAGCGGGGAUCAGAGCCAAAGCACCAGAUAAACCAGAUGAAAUCAAUGUCCAAGUUGAAAGUUCUAAGCUGCAAGAUCGAAUUCUACUUAAAAACGUUAGCCAUGCCUCAUUAUCAAUCAAUCUGACUCAUAUGCUCGACCUACACAUGUUUUCAAAUCUACCAAUCCCUUUAACAUUCAUUAGUUCUGGAACGUGAAUCAAGCAAUGCAUCAUCAAAGAACUCAUUUGGCUAAGGUAAAAGGUCAAGAGACAAAGAUGGUCCCUUACAGAAUAGGCUUCGGUAACAGGGGAUCUCUCAAAAAAUGAUUAAGCUUUAGUAGAAUGCUAAAGGUAAGUCCCAAGCUAUGCAUACAGAGAUAAGAUCCCAUCUACCCAGAGUAUAUCAAAUGAAGCUCUAAUGGUAAUCCCAUCUCCAAUCCCAAUAUAAGAAGUUAACUCUACCAUUUGCAUUCAUGAAUCUUUUAAGCCCUUUUUCUAAUCAUUCUUUUCUUUUCUCUUAACUCUGGGAGAAGCUUUUUCAACACUUUGUUACAUCUAGCGGAUUUGGAUUUCUUUAACAACUAAGGUUCCUGUUUUUAACAUUUUAAAACCAAGGGCUUUUGCCCAUCUCCAAUAGCUAACAAGAACUCUUUCUUUUCUUUACAAAUCCCAAAACCUUUACUAGACUUUUUUUGCUUCUUUAGCUUACUUCACCUAGAGUCCUUUACCUUUUCUCAUCAAUGAAUCAACCGCUUUUUUUCUUUUAAACACAUCCCAGCCCAAAGUAUAAGCGCCCACCUAGUCCUAUCUAGUCCGAAAAAUGCGAACUAGAACUACAUGAGACACUAUCUCUGUCGUUACGAACCUAACAUUUUCUACCAAGCUUAAUCGGAAUAAGACCUCACAAACACUCACAAGUGAUAUAGGGCUUGAAAGAAAGUCUAGGUUUGGAUUUGGGUUAACUGCUCUAAUAAGGAGAGUUAGCUACUUGGAUUAACAAGAGUGAUCAAAAUGAAUAAGAAAAUCCAAGUAUUUUAGGGUAUCCAUGAGUUCAAAUUUGAUUCAGACAUGAUAAUUAAAGAUCAGAUUCAGGUUCAAAUUGAUAGGGAAUGGUAUCAGAUCAUGACAGUGUGGUCGAGUAGAGCAAUCUAGGCAUGGUUCAGUUUUAUUUCAAAUUCAUUGAUUACGCAACAAACAACUAGCAACGAGGGCACUGAGAUUAUCCGGUGAAUCAAAAUGCUUACAAGGCUAUCUCAUCAUCAUCCCCUAUGCAUAUGCAACAAUCCUAAAUGAAACACUCUAGACUCGAUCCUAAAUGUGAUGCAACUACAUGAACACUCUUUUUUUGUGAAAUCAUUUUCUGAAAUUUUUCAAAUUUUUUUGGUUUUUCUAUGCCUUAGAUGAAUGCAGACUCAAAAAUAUACACAAUGCAACACACACUUCCUGAGCCCUCCCCCAAACUUAAAUCACACAGUCCACUGUGCGAAUAAACUUGGAAGAGAGUACUCAGGACAAAUCCAAUCACAGAAACAAAAAAAAAUGAAGAAACAAAUCACAACAGAUGAUAUAAUACAAUGGUGAAGUGAGGCGCUUACCUCAGUCGAAGAAUGAACGUAGUUGCUCGUCAAUGGCUGCCUGUGAUUGCUCUCAGGCCAUAGACGAACCACCUUGUUCUGUAUCAGCUCCAGCAGGUGGUUACUCGACCUCAUCAGCUCUAUGGCGGCCAACACCACCAUGAGUAUACUCGACCUCCAUUCUUCUGCUGCGGCCAGCACCGCAGUCGAGUGAUCUCCUGCCAUGGAUAAGCCAAAACAUGGUCGAGUAUCCUUCAUUGCUCUGUGGUCGAGUAUUGUGUUGUACUCUCAGAGCCAGAAUCCACUUCACUCAGCUCUUUAUACUUAUCUCCUGAAAACACUAACCAAAUGCAUCAAAAACAACAAGGAAAAAUAAAGAUAUGUACAAAGAUAGACAAGGGAUUUGCUCCCAU